CCGCAUGGUGGUUGUUGGAAAGUUUUUCGGUGAGGGAUGGACUCGCGGCCUAUCAGUUUGUUGGUGAGGUAAUGGCUCACCAAGACGAUGACGGGUAGCCGGCCUGAGAGGGCGACCGGCCACACUGGGACUGAGACACGGCCCAGACUCCUACGGGAGGCAGCAGUGGGGAAUAUUGCACAAUGGGCGAAAGCCUGAUGCAGCGACGCAGCGUGAGGGAUGACUGCCUUCGGGUUGUAAACCUCUUUCAGUAGGGAAGAAGCGAAAGUGACGGUACCUGCAGAAGAAGCGCCGGCUAACUACGUGCCAGCAGCCGCGGUAAUACGUAGGGCGCAAGCGUUAUCCGGAAUUAUUGGGCGUAAAGAGCUUGUAGGUGGCUUGUCGCGUCUGCCGUGAAAACCCGAGGCUCAACCUCGGGCGUGCGGUGGGUACGGGCAGGCUAGAGUGUGGUAGGGGAGACUGGAACUCCUGGUGUAGCGGUGAAAUGCGCAGAUAUCAGGAAGAACA
This 507-nucleotide ribosomal RNA is filed under the name Brachybacterium sp. Its description in RNAcentral is "bacterial SSU rRNA". It matches the Rfam family "Bacterial small subunit ribosomal RNA", at positions 186 to 708 of the family's 1533-position model. The record is from RNAcentral. Lineage: Bacteria; Bacillati; Actinomycetota; Actinomycetes; Micrococcales; Dermabacteraceae.